This is a long non-coding RNA of Strigops habroptila (Kakapo), 270 nucleotides long. RefSeq lists it as uncharacterized. Lineage: Eukaryota; Metazoa; Chordata; Aves; Psittaciformes; Psittacidae. The transcript has 3 exons. The record is from RefSeq and is a predicted model, not a curated record.
CAACACCAACCUGCCAGGUUAACACAACCUGAAAAUGCCAUUUAUGGAUUAAAAAGGUUGGUUGUUUUUUUUACCGACCAGCACACCUGGCCCUUUUAUUAGCGCAGCACAAAAGUGGUUCUUUCUUAAUUGUUAACACAAAAAUAGAGAACAAAUAUCAACAGUAGACUGUGUACAUGAAAAUAAACCCCGAUCUUAGGUUAAGGAUUGCAUUGACCAAGAUCAGCUGAUGUUGGGCACAGGUUUGACCUUCCCACUAGUCCCAGCUGA